UAGUCCACGCCGUAAACGAUGGUUACUAGAUGUUUGGUGGAUUAACCCACUGAGUAUCAAAGUUCACACAUUAAGUAACCCGCCUGGGGAGUACGGUCGCAAGGCUAAAACUCAAAGGAAUUGACGGGGGCCCGCACAAGCGGUGGAGUAUGUGGUUUAAUUCGAAGCAACGCGAAGAACCUUACCUGGUCUUGACAUCCUGUGACAAUCAUAGAGAUAUGCCUUUCCCCUCGGGGACGCAGUGACAGGUGCUGCAUGGCUGUCGUCAGCUCGUGUUGUGAGAUGUUCGGUUAAGUCCGGCAACGAGCGCAACCCCUAUCCUUAGUUACCAUCAUUAAGUUGGGGACUCUAGGGAGACUGCCGAUGUCAAAUCGGAGGAAGGCGGGGAUGACGUCAAGUCCUCAUGGCCCUUACGACCAGGGCUACACACGUACUACAAUGGUAGAAACAGACUGUUGCGAAACCGAAAGGUCAAGCUAAUCAGUAAAACACUAUCUCAGUCCGGA
RNAcentral lists this ribosomal RNA (506 nucleotides) under uncultured bacterium. RNAcentral's name for it is "bacterial SSU rRNA". It matches the Rfam family "Bacterial small subunit ribosomal RNA", at positions 791 to 1297 of the family's 1533-position model. The record is from RNAcentral.